UUUUUGCUGAAUUAGUGAUCGGCUUAAACACCCUAAGUGCUCUUGUUUUCAAGAGUCUAAAUUUUUAAAUAUUGGAGUUACACAUGUCACUAAGUACUCAAGAAACUGCUGAAAUCGUUGCUAAAUUUGCUCGUGCUGAA
RNAcentral lists this non-coding RNA (140 nucleotides) under uncultured Pseudoalteromonas sp. RNAcentral's name for it is "Ribosomal S15 leader". It matches the Rfam family "Ribosomal S15 leader". Rfam says of the family: The E. coli Ribosomal S15 gene 5' UTR can form two alternative structures. One that is a series of three hairpins, The other includes a pseudoknot. This structure causes translational regulation of the S15 protein. The record is from RNAcentral. Lineage: Bacteria; Pseudomonadati; Pseudomonadota; Gammaproteobacteria; Alteromonadales; Pseudoalteromonadaceae. RNAcentral also lists the same sequence under 1 other name.